Molecule: ribosomal RNA, 564 nt
Filed under: uncultured bacterium
Lineage: Bacteria
Description: partial 16S ribosomal RNA
Rfam family: Bacterial small subunit ribosomal RNA
Source: RNAcentral
UGGGGAAUAUUGGACAAUGGGCGGAAGCCUGAUCCAGCAACGCCGCGUGAGGGAUGACGGCCUUCGGGUUGUAAAACCUCUUUUCAGCACAGACGAAGCGCAAGUGACGGUAUGUGCAGAAGAAGGACCGGCCAACUACGUGCCAGCAGCCGCGGUAAUACGUAGGGUCCGAGCGUUGUCCGGAAUUAUUGGGCGUAAAGGGCUCGUAGGCGGUUUGUCGCGUCGGGAGUGAAAACACCGGGCUUAACUCGGUGCUUGCUUUCGAUACGGGCAGACUAGAGGCAUUCAGGGGAGAACGGAAUUCCUGGUGUAGCGGUGAAAUGCGCAGAUAUCAGGAGGAACACCGGUGGCGAAGGCGGUUCUCUGGGAAUGUCCUGACGCUGAGGAGCGAAAGUGUGGGGAGCGAACAGGAUUAGAUACCCUGGUAGUCCACACCGUAAACGUUGGGCGCUAGGUGUGGGAUCCAUUCCACGGGUUCCGUGCCGCAGCUAACGCAUUAAGCGCCCCGCCUGGGGAGUACGGCCGCAAGGCUAAAACUCAAAGGAAUUGACGGGGUCAUAGCUG